RNAcentral lists this ribosomal RNA (305 nucleotides) under uncultured bacterium. RNAcentral's name for it is "bacterial SSU rRNA". It matches the Rfam family "Bacterial small subunit ribosomal RNA", at positions 335 to 658 of the family's 1533-position model. The record is from RNAcentral.
UGCCUACGGGGCGCAGCAGUGGGGAAUAUUGCACAAUGGGGGAAACCCUGAUGCAGCAACGCCGCGUGAGUGAAGAAGUAUUUCGGUAUGUAAAGCUCUAUCAGCAGGGAAGAAAAUGACGGUACCUGAGUAAGAAGCCCCGGCUAACUACGUGCCAGCAGCCGCGGUAAUACGUAGGGGGCAAGCGUUAUCCGGAUUUACUGGGUGUAAAGGGAGCGUAGACGACAUAGCAAGUCUGAAGUGAAAGCCCGUGGCUCAACCGCGGAACUGCUUUGGAAACUGUUAAGCUGGAGUACAGGAGAGGG